GGUGAACUGCGGAAGGAUCAUUG
RNAcentral lists this ribosomal RNA (23 nucleotides) under Liabum igniarium. RNAcentral describes it as "partial 18S ribosomal RNA". Lineage: Eukaryota; Viridiplantae; Streptophyta; Magnoliopsida; Asterales; Asteraceae. The record is from RNAcentral. RNAcentral also lists the same sequence under 3 other names.